Molecule: ribosomal RNA, 377 nt
Filed under: uncultured bacterium
Lineage: Bacteria
Description: bacterial SSU rRNA
Rfam family: Bacterial small subunit ribosomal RNA
Source: RNAcentral
UAAUACGUAGGGAGCAAGCGUUACUCGGAAUUACUGGGCAUAAAGGGGGCGUAGGCGGGUGCGCAAGUCUGAUGUGAAAGCCCUCGGCUCACCCGGGGAAUGGCAUGGGAAACUGCGUGCCUGGAGUGCGGGAGGGGAGAGCGGAACUCGUGGUGGAGCGGUGAAAUGCGUAGAUAUCACGAGGAACGCCGGCGGCGAAAGCGGCUCUCUGGCCCGUCACUGACGCUGAGGCCCGAAAGCCAGGGGAGCGAACGGGAUUAGAUACCCCGGUAGUCCUGGCCCUAAACGAUGAGCACUAAGUAGUGGCGGUUCCGAAACUGUCUCUGCUGUAGCUAAUGUGCUAAGUGCUCCGCCUGGGGAGUACGGUCGCAAGGCUG